Non-coding RNA from Rattus norvegicus (Norway rat), 5842 nucleotides. Lineage: Eukaryota; Metazoa; Chordata; Mammalia; Rodentia; Muridae. The record is from RefSeq and is a predicted model, not a curated record.
UCUCUCUCUGUCCCAGGUUUAGAAACAUAUCCAGAGAGACAUAAAGGGAUGUUCAGCCAUUCAUCUCAUUUUGAAGUAGGACAUGAAAGGUAAAUACCCCAGCCAGGAUGGUGUCAGGUACUCUUUGGGAGACCCUGCUGUCCCCGGUAGAAGAGAUAAAGGCCUGGUGGAUACACCACAGCUCUCUGUCUUCUUGCUGGAGAGGGGUGUGGCUUCAUCUCCCCAGCUUCCUAUGCUCCCUACCAAGUGCAGGUGGUGGUCCGCUCAGCAGAAACAGGACAGUGUGGGGCUGGCCACAAGCCCCCUCAUCUCCAGCUCCUCAGUCUAGCACACUGAUGGGCUCAGUGAUAAACAGGAAGGUGGGACAGAACCCACACCUCCAUGAUGAAUGGCUGGGAAUGCUGGGAACAGUGCUGGUUCGAGUUUCCGGUAACAGUAGCGCGGUUGGUCAGGUCAGUCUUCUGUGGCUUGAUGUGGGCAGAAGCUCAGGUUUGCCAGCCUCGCCCUAGCUCUGCGAUCUCAGACUUGUCCUUUUGCUCUGAAGUUAAGCUGAGCAGACUCCUUUGCUUAUAAAGGAACCCUGAGGGUCCUGGGUGUGGUUAGCCGCCUCUGGGAUCACUCUACCAGGAGUGCUGGACUGAUGGUGUCCUUGCUUCCUGGGUGUCUACCUUCUAUCAAAGAUUACCAUGCCCCAAACCAGCAUCCAGCAAGUCCAGCUCUUAAGGCGCAUCCUCCCUGGAACCACAAUCCCCUUGAAGCCCUCCAGCGCUUCUCUGGCCUUUUACUCUGACCUUCCUGUCUUAUACUUCAGAGUGCAAAUGUCUCUGACAGGUGGUAAGUCCCUAAAACUAGGGUCACCUCCUGCCUACCCCGUUUCUAGCCCUAUCCUCUGCACUGGACAGUGCUCAGUAAACAUUCAAGAACAGAACUCAGCUGUCCAGAUUGGACAGAUUAUUUCCCUCAUCUUGGAACCUGCAUGUGUGGCUUUGGACUCAAAGUUCUUUCAAUCAGCAUAAGAACCACUCUUCUUGAGAAAGGGCCUCUCUGUCUUAGAACUUCCUCAGCCUCCUGAGGGAUUAAAGGGGAUUAAAGCUGUUCACCAUCAUCCUUCCAAAGGAAACUAUGAUCACUGUCCUCAUUUUAUAGUGGCUCAGAGAGAUGAACUAGUUUGCCAAAGUUACGCAUCGACUAGGUAGAAACACCUUGAACUUGGACAGAGUCCAGACUCUCUGAACCAUGGUACUAUCACUAGAAUCUUGUAGACAAGCACCACUCUGGACUGGGAUGGACUGGGAGUCUCGAGACUGUGUGGUCGCUGGCUGGAGUCUCCGACAAGUUUUCCCUUCACCCAGUGGGCAGCCUGGCAGUGAGUUUGACAUCACUCUUCACCAGCUGCCUUCUGGGAAGUGUGAGUUCUCAGAGUCAACGAGGUGCCAAGACAGCAGCCUGAAGCCCACUGCUCCGCUGAGAGAGCUGGGCUUUUUGUGUCCAUGCCCAGGGCAACCACAUUUGCAGCAAAUCACAAGCAAAGGGCAGGCUGGGCUGGUGCAGAAGACGUUAGGCCUCUGUCAUUGUGGAAAGUUCUGAUCUGAAGACAGGGAGGGAGUCAGGGGUGAUGAGACUGAGGGAGAAACAGAAGCUCCUAGUCAGGGGCUAUGCUGGGAUUUGUCUCAUUUCCCUUCCUUCUUCCCUCCCUUCCCCAUAUCUCCUCUUUUUUCUUCUCCCUCCUUUUCUUUCUUUUCUCCUAUUCUUUCUGUAUGUCUGUCUAACUGUCUGUCUCUGUCUCUGUCUCUGUCUCUGUCUCUCUGUCUCUCUGACUCUCUCUCUCUUGGGCUUGUGAGUGAGAGCGCGCGCGCGCGCGCACACACACACACACACACACACACACACACACACACACACACACCCCAAUAAAAACCUCUUUGGGGAUUACAGUCCUAUCUGGGAUAUCAGUACUUCAGGGUCAGUUCCCUGUGGCCAGCUUUGAUGACCUGUUACAUGGAUGUCCUUUACAACAGAGGGUCUGGCCUGAAUGAUAAACUCCACAGUGACACCCCACCCCAUUCAAUCUGAGCCUGACUGACACAGAUAAACACUAGAUGGGGAUGAAAAUGAAAUUGACUGUUUGCUUCCAAGGCACCAGCUCUCCCACAGACGGCCCAGUGACUUUGGUUUCAGAUGAACUUUCGACUAUGGGGCUGACAGCACCUGGCUCAGGCUUCCAACAGAGAGGGACAAGGAUGGGGUCAGGAAGACUGAGAGCAACAGAAAGAAAAGUAAGUUCAAGAAUUAGUGGAUACGGUCAUUCCUCCCCACAAGUCCCAGAGCCAAAGACACCAAGACAAACCUGUGUCUGCCCCUGCAUAGUUCAGAGACAGCUACUGGCUGCUUCGGUGGGUCUUGGGAUGGUAUCUUGGGUGAAGGCCAGGUAAGUAUAACUGUCCAUUUCCCUGAUGACUACAAAGACUGAAAGAGAUCAGAAUCCAGGCCAGUUAAGUCUGAAUCUCAACCACGUUGGACACAUUACAGUUGUCAGACAGCUGCAGAUGCCAGCUCGGCUCAGUGGCUCUGCAGGCUGGAGAUGUACUGCACACUGCAGCAGAAACCCAGCAGGCAGCAUAGCAUGCUGUGUACCUCAGUCCAAAUACCCUUGCUCCCCCAGUUCCUCACGCUCCCACCAUGAGUACUGUUCUUUUCCCUCUGAUUCUCUUUUUGUUCAUUUUUUUUUUCUGUAUAUCCUUGGCUAUCUCACUCUGUAGAUCAGGCUGGCCUCAAACUCGUAGAGAACCGCCUAAUUCAGCCUCCCAGGUACUGGGAUUAAAGACGGGCACCGCCACCAGCACCCGGCCCUAUGAUCACACUCUUAUCGAUGACCAAUUUAAGGAAAACAUGAAUGUGCCUGGAAUCUGCUCUGUGAAUGCUACCAGAAUGGUUGAUGAGAGGAACUAGAGGAAAGGUGGCUGAACGAAUGAAUGAACUCUUAUCACUUCCCUGGGACUCACUAAAAACAUUAAAUAGGCCUCUUCACUAGAUGGUGAACCAGGCGAUCAACCCGUCUGGUAUCAGGACCCACGCUAAUGUUUGUAUCCUUCCUCUGUGAUACGCAAUCCCUGCACACAAAGUGCACUCUUCUUCUAUCUCUCUGUAUACACUGAUGGUCAUUUACUUGGCAUGAACUCCCAAGCAAUCCCACUUUAAGAGUGGAAUAAACAAGACCAAAUUAGGAAGGGAAAUUUACUGCAAAAGAAAAAAAUACAUAACAAAGAAAUUCAAGGAAAACAGAAAGCCUACGUAGGCUCCCAACUCUUUUUUUUUUUUUUCUUUUUCUUUUUUUCGGAGCUGGGGACUGAACCCAGGGCCUUGUGCUUGCUAGGCAAGCACUCUACCACUGAGCUAAAUCCCCAACCCUGGCUCCCAACUCUUGAUGGUAGAUAUGCUGCUAGGCUUCCAUAGCUAGAGAGAUGGAGGACAGCGCUGGAUUGCUCACACUGGGAUCUGCUCUGCCUGGGUCCCUGUCGGCUGGGUCUGCUUCCUCCUCCAGCGUCUGGAGCCUGGCGGUACCCAGAACAGGGAGGAUGCUAUGCAGAAGCCUGUAGUUGGCCCAAAGGCAUAUUAAACCAUGAAAUGAAUGGGGAGACAAAGACAGGCAUUUCUCUCUUGGGCACCGAUUGACUGGGUGCCUGCCUGUGUUAUCACAUCCAUUAUCUCAUUUAACGAGAGUGGCAGCGUCUGCUUUCCUCCCAAGGAAAUGAGUCUGACUUCCUCUUGACUGCACUGCAACUGCUCAGACUUGCCUGCUUCUCUAGAGAUCCACGAACCAUCACCCCUGGAUGCACAUGGUGUGUGCUGAUCACUCUUUUGAAACCACUGGCUGCCAGUCCCGGCAGGACAGAUAUAGCCCUUGGCAGAAACAGUCACAAUCACAAGGUACCUCUGGGUGGAUGUGGACACAGCGGAAAUGGGUGCAGAGAUUCUGCAGAGCACAGGAAAUGAGAGGGCUUUGUUGCCUUGGCAACGGGCAGCCAGGGUCAGCGGCAGAGUACAGCAAUCAUGGGGCUAGUGGCAGAAAACAGGCCAUGUUGUCAGGUCUGAGGCUCUAGAGAUGGAGAACCCACAGAGGCAACCUUGUUCCUAUACCUGGGCUUCGGACCGGUCACUCAAGCUCUCUGGCCUAAAGGGACCACCAGAAAAUUCUAUGUGCGCACAUGUGGACUUUCAGACCAGAUAGACACCUGGGAGAAGAAGGAAGGCAGUGGGCAUCUUGGGAACCCAGAGACCACAGCAAAGAAGCCAGCUUUCCUGAACAUAUACUCUACUGGGAACUGGCAAACAAGCAUGGCUUACGUUAUCCUGGUGAAUCCAUAACGUGUAUAUGGCAAACAUUCCCAUUUUACAGAUGAGGAAACUGAGGCCAGAAACAGACUAUGCAAUUCCUAAUUGCCGCUGGUAGUGUCAAACCUAUCUCCACUGAGCCAACUGUGUACAUCCAGUGUGCUCAUAGUCAUAUGUGGAUGCAGCUACUGAAACCUUACAGAAAAAGCACCUGGACUUCCUCAUAACCAGAUGUGCUGCCAUCCAAACUCAGAAGGAACAGACAGCAUGGCCAAGGAACUCUAAGGCUUAGAAUGCAGCCUUUAAAAGGGGUGGAGGGAUACUGGUGUUGUGUUGACAAGUAGUCAUUGAGCAUGGAAAAAAAAAAAAAAAAAAAAAAAAAAAAAAGACAAGCCAGGGUUCCAGGGAUGUGGCAUUGACAGCCCAGAUCUUUUUCCCACAAGAGACUGCCAAUGAAGGCUGAGACGAACUCACCCAAGACUACAAUGGAUGGGGUAAAGGCCUUGCUCCCUGCUCUAGGCCAGUGCCAACCCAGCAUGCAGCUGCAGGAGCAGUGAGAAAGGCUCUACCCAGACAACCACCGCCUCCCCACCAGACCUCACAGGUUCCUUUGUCUCUCUUAGGUUGGACACCCUUGCUAACGACUUCUCCGGCAAAUGGUCUGGGUAGCCUCCAGUGUGUGACUUCUCGUCCCUCAGGGAUGGUUGUGUACUCAAACUGAACCAUACGGCAUUUUGUUGUGGUUGUUGUUUUGAGACAGGGUUCUCCUGGGUAGGCCUGGCUAGCCUAGAACUCACGACAAUGCCCCCCUCCCCAAUUUUUACCAUAAGAUCUUGAAGGAGAAGGGGCAUUCUCAAUGUAUAUCUGGAGCUCAUAAUCAUGGGGCAUGCAAGGCCUUAGAAACUCAAAAUGCCUGGCCAAGCUGGUACCUGGGAGGGAGCUGGGAGGAGGCCACAGUCUUUCAGGAGAAGACAUCUCUUGGCUCACCGUGAGUCAGUUCCCACGUUCUUACCCAAAAGUAUCAGGACAGAGACUGUUGCCAAGUUGGAUUUGAGCACAGGUUCUAGGAGCUACAAGUUCCAUCUUCUCAGACCUCUGACAGCCUCGGGCUCUUAUGUCUAUACGCAUAGGAGAGCCUCGUUCCUGAUUCAGGGAUGCCGUGUGGUUGUCGGUGGAUUUCACCUCUCCUAGCAAUACCUCAGGACCAUUGGCGGUGACAGAGCCUUCCAGGUGAAGGGGAGGAGGACAAGAAGGUCCAGGCAGAACUGCUAACGGAGGAGGGGCUCACCUUCAGUCAGCCCUCUCUCAAGGACCGACCCCAACAUACUUUUCUGUAGUAUAACCCGGCCUGGGAAAAGUGGCUGAAACUGAGCCAGAGGGCCAUCAGGACCUGAGACUCCUCCACUUACACUGGUGGGGUGGUGGUACCCUACGUCCCUGCUCCGAGUACUGCAGGCCCCUUCUACACCUGAGAUAAUAAAGAACCCAGAGUCUGGGAUUGGAUGUAGGA